Salvia splendens (bonfire salvia) is the source of this 3988-nucleotide long non-coding RNA. RefSeq lists it as uncharacterized. The transcript is spliced from 2 exons. The record is from RefSeq and is a predicted model, not a curated record. Lineage: Eukaryota; Viridiplantae; Streptophyta; Magnoliopsida; Lamiales; Lamiaceae.
CACUGCUCUCUUGAAUUUUUAGAUCACUGCUCACUUUACUUUUUAUAUUGCCUAUCUUUCAGAUAAAUAGCCAACAUCCCUAGCUACUGAGGCUGGAACUUUGUUUGUGGAAAGCCAUGUCCUUGAUCAUUAUCAUGCUGAGAGGAUAAGAUGAAUUUGAUGUGCUUCCUUUUGAAGUUGACCAAUAGUAACAUUUUUUAUUUCAAUAAUCCUUUGAAUUUUUGGAUUAAUGGAAUAAGCUCCUGAUGACUUUUGAAUUUUUCCAAAGAUUUGGAGACAUCUAAUAAGCCUUCUUAAUUCUUUGAUCUUAACUUUUAAUUCUGUAAGUCUGAAGCUGCAAGAUUUCUUGAAACAAAUAGACAUGUCAAGCUGCAGUGAUAAUAAGAAUAAUUUUGAGAAUUCUUUUCAUUCUUUUGAUUCUAUCAUUUCUUUUUUCAAUUCCAGCCAACGUCCACUUGACAUAAGGAAGAUCAGCUUCUCCUGGAGUAUUAAUGAUUUUUUGAGCAAAAUCAAGAAGAAAAUCAACUUGAGUGGUUUCUUCUCUUAUCUCGUUUAUGAUAUGCUUUAAAUAAGCCUUCAUCUCUGUCUUCCUGAAAAACCCUGUCAUCAAAAAUCAUAAGGGUCUUGUCCCCCAAUAGGGUCUGAGGAGACGGAUUCUUCAGAUCUUGAUUUUGAAGAGGCAGACUUUUGUGCAAGAUACUCAAAGAAUUCUUUCUUGAUAUUUUCUCGUAAAUCAUUCAUAUAAGUAUCCAUUUUUGGUUUUGAGCUGCUGGCUUUUUGGGUUGCUUCAGUCUUUUCUUUUCCAUUUCCAUUUUUUUGAUAAACUACCUUUUCUCAUGUGGUUAGAAAAUGUCUAACAACUGGUUCGGCUCCAGUAUGAUCUUGGAACCUUGCCCACCAUUUGACUUUAUAGACCCUUGUCAAAGAAUAAGGGGUAGGGCCUGGAUAAAUUUUCUCAAAAUUGAAAUCCCAUGCAAAAAUCCAAGGAGUCUGAAUCCACUAGAAUGAACUCAUUAUACUUUUGAUCUUUCGAAUGAUCAUCAGAUUCCCAAAGUUGGGAAGGAUUUUUGGAAAGUUAUUUCUGAUAAAAUCUUUUUGAGAAAGAUUUGCUGGAUAUUCAGAAAAAGUGGUCAUUCCACAAUCAUCAUGCCAUUCUUUGGCAGUAUAUUUGUAGACUUCAGGAGUGUUUGAGAUCUGGAUAUUAGUGGGUUUUGGUAGGUUUGAAGCAAGAAUUGUGUUAUAAGGAAUUUCUGGUAAAUUUUGAAUUGGAGAGAAUCGGUUUGGGAUAAUUUGAUUGGUUUUUUGAGGAGUGACUGGAGUUGAGGAUGAAACAAGGGCAUUUGAGGUGAGCUUUGAUGAAAAAACUUCAUAGUCUUUAGCACUUUGUAUCUUCUUUUUUCUAGAUACCAUCACUGUUUCCUUUUAAAAAUUCUCUGGUUAGAAAAUCAGGUAGAGAAUUAUUUUCUCCUUUUAUAAAUUCAAUUUCAAAAUCAAAAACAGAAAGAAUAGCUUGCCAUCUGGCAAAUAUUUGCUUUGAAAUAAUAUUUUGAACAUCUUUUGUAAGAACUUCUUUUGCUGAUUUACAAUCUAUUCUGAAUAAUUUUUUUUUAUUAUAGAGGUCAUCUUGAAAUUUUGAGAUACAUAAAACAAUGGAUAAAAUUUCCUUUUUAAUAACGGAAUAAUUCAUUUGUGCAUUAUUCCAGAUUCCAGAGUGAUACCUAACCAAUUGUUCUUUUGAAUCAAUUUUUUGUUUUAAAAUUCCUCCGUACCCUAGAUUUGAGACAUCUGUUUCUAUAAUCAUAAAGGCUUCUGGAUUAGGGAUGCCUAAGCAAGGGAGAGUUUUAACUUGUUGUUUAUGGUUUUGACAAUAUUAGUGUGUUCUUCUGUCCAAUUAGGAGGGUUUUUCUUAAGCCUUUGAUAAAGAAGGUUGCACGUUUCUCUAAGGUUAGGAAAGAAGUCUGAAAUGUAAUUCAGAGAUCCUAGAAAUCUUUGUAAUUGAUUUUUAUCUCUGAUUUCAUCGGGGAAUUUGUCUAUGAAAGAUAUCGACCUACUGAUAGGUUUGAAAGUUCCUUUGCUAAUUUCAUGUCCUAAAAAUCUAAAAUUGGUUUGAAACAGUUUUAAUUUGGGGUAGACAUAGCUAAUCCAUUCUUUUCUAUGGUUUUUAGGAAAAUGUCUAAAUGUUUGAUAUGUUGAUCAAUAUCUUGGGAGAAAAUUAAAAUAUCAUCAAUAUAGACAAUACUAAAUUGACUAUGAGGAUUCAUGAUAUCAUUCAUGACCUUUUGAAAUUCUGAAGUGGAAUUCUUUAACCCAAAGGGCAUGACAUUCUAUUCGUAUUUUAGGAAGAAAUAAGUGAGUCUGUUAUCAAGAGACCAUAAGACAUAUUUGACAAGAAAGAUAUGAUGAAUAUGUGUGCUGAACAAGUAUGCUCUGGCGUGGAAAUUAUGAGAAUUUGGAAUAUAUAUAUAUAUAUAUAUAUAUAUAUAUAUAUAUAUUUUGUAAUAAUAAAUCAAGAUGAUAAGGAAAUGAUAUUAAGAAUGAAAUAUCUGAAGAGACAUAAGUAAGAAAUAUGGAAAAGUUGUAUGACGAAAGUACAAAUAAGUUUGAUAUAAUGAGAUUGUUAGAAAUUUUGGAAAUCUGUGAAACUGAAAUAAAAACAAGUAAAUGAUUAAAAAUGAAAUAAUAUAGUUAUUAUAGUUACUAUUGUCUUAGCUGAAAGGGUUGGAUUCUGUAGUUUGGAUAUUGCUACUGGGCUUUCGAGCUCACUCCCUCUUCUUUUUCCCCCCUGCAGGUUAGAGUUGAUAUUCUGUCAGUGGUGUUGAGCAGCUUUGCACAUCUUUGACGGGUCACUGGUGGUCAACUUGGUUUAGUGGUCGUGACAUGUUGUGUAUUAGUUAAAUCUUUAAUCUUCCGCUGGAUAAAUAUUAAUUUUUUAAAAAAAUGUAAUAGAUUUUAAUUGUUCUUUUAAGCUAAAAAGAAAAAGGAAAACUUCAGCACGGGUUUUCGAUACUGAAACGUGACAUCACUUAUUCGGUGGGUUUACCUACCCGGUAAGGGGUGUUAUAGUAUCAUUCUAGUUGCUAUCUCAUGUCUUGCUCAUUGAGGUGUUUGAAAGUGGCAGUGGCUCGAAUUUUAGUUUCCAAAAUUUUCUUUUUGUUUUUCUAACUCAAAAUUGAAAAUAAGAGCAUGCUUGCGGUUUUAGUUACUACAUGAACAUUUCAUUAGGAGGUUGGAGGUGUUUUACCUCUUGAAACGGCUGCUGAUCUUAAGACUCGCAGCCCUUUCGCUUGCGUUGUCGGUUUCCCCUUUUGAUAAGUUAGGAAGAGAGUGAGUUGAGUUUUGAGCACCAAAGAAUACUUAUGGAAAGAAAGAAAGGCUUGUUAGCUAUGUGGACAGGGGCUGCCUCUGUGCAAGAAUCUGUUGGAAGCUCUCCUUCACUCACUCAAACCCUACGCUUCAAGUUAGUUAUGUGGCAGAAUUUUCGAAAUGAGUGGGAGGGGAAUUUGAUGAGUGUGGAAGGGUCUUUAUAGGGGAAGAGUGUGUACUCGUGAGCCUUUAAUUGGGCUGCUGUAUUUCCUUGUCUUCUUCCUGUAGCAUAUCCCCUUUUUCUUGAUUUUUGCAGCCACUUUAACUGAAAUCCUUAGUGGUGAUUUUGCAGGUGUACAACAAAGGAGGUUGGCAAUUAAGAGAAUUGUCUUGAUUUGUAGGUGUGGAAAGGAGGUUGGCUGUCAUUGCUGGGGUAUAACAGGGGUCUGGCCGGCUGCUCUCGGCCGUGGCCCGUUCAGCUCGGCCCGUAGAGCGUGUGAUUUUUCCUUGGGCUCGAAGGACGCAGGACCAAUAUUUAACAAUCCUAAAAUUGUAAUAGAAUAGUGCCUUUACAAGUUCUUCUUUCCAUUCUCAAAUAACACGUGAAUCAUUUAUAGAAGUUAAUAUAUAUUGUUCUCGAGCACUCGUAGUUCGGAAUAAAAAUACCAUCGUUCUCCCUUCUCUA